UUCAAAUAUGUAUCAAAGCCAAUUUGGGCAACAAUCCUCUUUGCCGAGAGAAACGUUGGGGGAAGCUGAACAACGUUUAUGGCAGCAACAACUUUCUUUAUCAACAGAAACGUGGGAGGAUGAUCAACAACUAUCUCAUCAAAUAGUUGAUUUGAUGGAACAAGUCAAAAGUCUUAAUGAGAAGUUCGACAAAUUUUUGAAGAAGUACGAUUCCUAGAGCUAUGAAGUUACCUUUAGGAAUUUGGAGACAUAAAUUGAUAUAGUUGUUGAUGAGGAGAAGAUAGAGGAGGAAAAGAUAGAGGAGGAAGAAAUAGAAAAGUUGAGUGAGGAAGAUAAAGAUGAUAAGGGAGAAAAAGCAAUGGUUGAGAAAAAGAAAAAAAGAAAAAAUAUGCGAAAAUAAAGAAGAAAAGAAGAAAAGAGAAAAAAAGAAAGUUGAGGGAGGAGAUUAAGAAAAAGAGGAAGAGAGGAAAGAAGAAAAGAUCAUAUGCAAAACCUCUUCCUCAUCAAAAGAAAUAUCAUAGGAAAGAAAAGAAGUUUAAGUGCUUUAUUGAAAUCUUCAAGAAAUUGGAGAUUAAAGUUCGUAUGAUUGAUAUAUGGAAAUACGUGCUUGGUGUUCUCAAUUUUCUGAAGAAAUUCAGCAGGAAGAAGAAAAAGAAAAGAAUAUCAAGCAAAGAGAAUCAACACCUACUGAGGGGUGUUUUUAUUUUUCUGUUUUUAUUUUUUCUGUUUUUA
This 732-nucleotide long non-coding RNA is filed under the name Vigna radiata. RNAcentral describes it as "long non-coding RNA (VRAD_LNC017493)". Lineage: Eukaryota; Viridiplantae; Streptophyta; Magnoliopsida; Fabales; Fabaceae. The record is from RNAcentral.